This 253-nucleotide ribosomal RNA is filed under the name uncultured bacterium. Its description in RNAcentral is "partial 16S ribosomal RNA". It matches the Rfam family "Bacterial small subunit ribosomal RNA", at positions 524 to 776 of the family's 1533-position model. The record is from RNAcentral.
UACAGAGGGUGCGAGCGUUAAUCGGAAUUACUGGGCAUAAAGCGUGCGUAGACGGUAGCGUAAGUCAGAUGUGAAAGCCCCGGGCUCAACCUGGGAAUUGCAUUUGAGACUGCUCUGCUCGGGUGCGGAAGAGGGAAGCGGAAUUUCCGGUGUAGCGGUGAAAUGCGUAGAUAUCGGAAGGAACACCAGUGGCGAAAGCGGCUUCCUGGUCCGCCACCGACGUUCAGGCACGAAAGCGUGGGGAGCAAACAGG